Molecule: long non-coding RNA, 296 nt
Filed under: Ananas comosus (pineapple)
Lineage: Eukaryota; Viridiplantae; Streptophyta; Magnoliopsida; Poales; Bromeliaceae
Description: long non-coding RNA (ACOM_LNC042103)
Source: RNAcentral
UACAAUGGCCUAACAUUAUGUUUCUAUGUUGCAGUUUCAUAGUUUACUAGUUUCAAGUGCCUCUUGAUGACACUUUAUGCUACUAAGUCCAAACAUAGUAUAAUGCUUCCAAUACACGAAUAUGAGCUAAAUUAGCAUACUAGACGAGAAUCUCAUUCGUCCACAUGAACACUCCUCACAUGCAUGAAAAUAACCCUGAUUACUCUACUAUAUAGAGUGAAAUUUAACUUACACAUAAGGCAUGCAUUUUAGGUGUUCGAAAAUUCACAUAAAUUUCAAUUAGCAUAGAAAAGCAU